CAUUUUGAUCUGAAAAAACACUAAAGAAUGAGUAUUUCUUCUCAAGAACGAACACCACAAAGCCUUUCCUCAUCUAUUCAGAACCUCAUCUAUUCAGAACCUCAUCUACUCAGAAUUUAAAAACAUUAUUUAAGAAGAGACAAGGAAAAAAAGAUGGAGGGAUGAUUUUUGUGCCAUUUCAGGGUGACAGAAAAGGAAACAAGGAGAGCUGGAAUUGACCUGGAUCCUUGUGGGAAAUACUUCAGUGAUGGAUGGAAGCAGAGGGAGAAAGGACCAAAAUGAAGCCAGGAGGGACAAGAUGGCUGGAAUGUUUGGUUCUGAGGAUUCAUGAUUGUCCUUAACUCACACGGACUGAACUCUCGCUUGCCUGUCUUCCUGGGGCUUGUGUAAGAACAUCCUGCAGAAAAGUAUUAACAACGCGAGUGAUCUUCACUGUGUUUAACGAUUCAUUGAUUGUAAAAGAUGUUUUACCUGGGAUAACAAUGAGUGUGUAUUCCUGGAGCCUAAACUCACUGACCUGGAAGGGGGCCCCGAGAAGUGUGCUAAGUGGACAAAGGAAGCCUGGCUAGAGUUUAUAGUUUUCUAACUAGAUAAUUGAGUGAACUAAAAGGUCUUUUAUUAUCCUUAUGUGGAUUACGUACUUUGCAGGAUAUGCAUAGUCAUUAUUAAAACCA
Molecule: long non-coding RNA, 674 nt
Filed under: Homo sapiens (human)
Lineage: Eukaryota; Metazoa; Chordata; Mammalia; Primates; Hominidae
Description: non-protein coding LINC02201:12
Source: RNAcentral